GGGUUGUGAGGUUAAGCGACUAAGCGUACACGGUGGAUGCCCUGGCAGUCAGAGGCGAUGAAGGACGUGCUAAUCUGCGAUAAGCGCCGGUAAGGUGAUAUGAACCGUUAUAACCGGCGAUUUCCGAAUGGGGAAACCCAGUGUGACUCGUCACACUAUCAUUAACUGAAUCCAUAGGUUAAUGAGGCGAACCGGGGGAACUGAAACAUCUAAGUACCCCGAGGAAAAGAAAUCAACCGAGAUUCCCCCAGUAGCGGCGAGCGAACGGGGAGGAGCCCAGAGCCUGAAUCAGCAUGUGUGUUAGUGGAAGCGUCUGGAAAGGCGCGCGAUACAGGGUGACAGCCCCGUACACAAAAGCGCAUGUGUUGUGAGCUCGAUGAGUAGGGCGGGACACGUGGUAUCCUGUCUGAAUAUGGGGGGACCAUCCUCCAAGGCUAAAUACUCCUGACUGACCGAUAGUGAACCAGUACCGUGAGGGAAAGGCGAAAAGAACCCCGGCGAGGGGAGUGAAAAAGAACCUGAAACCGUGUACGUACAAGCAGUGGGAGCCCCACCACUAAGCCAGUGGUGAACUCCACAUACGCAUCCUUUGCUGAAGGUGCGGUUAACGGAGCGCAAGCGACGUUCAACCUCAAAAGAAGCAGAGGGG
Molecule: ribosomal RNA, 649 nt
Filed under: Salmonella enterica subsp. enterica serovar Kentucky
Lineage: Bacteria; Pseudomonadati; Pseudomonadota; Gammaproteobacteria; Enterobacterales; Enterobacteriaceae
Description: partial 23S ribosomal RNA
Rfam family: Bacterial large subunit ribosomal RNA
Source: RNAcentral